RNAcentral lists this transfer RNA (72 nucleotides) under Fukomys damarensis (Damara mole-rat). It matches the Rfam family "tRNA". From Rfam's summary of the family: Transfer RNA (tRNA) molecules are approximately 80 nucleotides in length. Their secondary structure includes four short double-helical elements and three loops (D, anti-codon, and T loops). Lineage: Eukaryota; Metazoa; Chordata; Mammalia; Rodentia; Bathyergidae. The record is from Rfam by way of RNAcentral.
GAAAAGGUAGGCUCAGUGGUAGAGUGCUUGCCUAGCAUGUGUGAGGCCCUGGGUUCAAUCCCCAGUUUCUCA